This 253-nucleotide ribosomal RNA is filed under the name uncultured bacterium. RNAcentral's name for it is "partial 16S ribosomal RNA". It matches the Rfam family "Bacterial small subunit ribosomal RNA", at positions 524 to 776 of the family's 1533-position model. The record is from RNAcentral.
GACAGAGGGUGCAAACGUUGCUCGGAAUCACUGGGCGUAAAGGGUGCGUAGGCGGGUUUUUAAGUCAGGGGUGAAAUCCUGGAGCUCAACUCCAGAACUGCCUUUGAUACUGAAGAUCUUGAGUUCGGGAGAGGUGAGUGGAACUGCGAGUGUAGAGGUGAAAUUCGUAGAUAUUCGCAAGAACACCAGUGGCGAAGGCGGCUCACUGGCCCGAUACUGACGCUGAGGCACGAAAGCGUGGGGAGCAAACAGG